AAGUCGUAACAAGGUUUCCGUAGGUGAACCUGCGGAAGGAUCAUUAAAAAUAUAGCAAACCGAGCGUUAGCGAGGUUUUGCGAUCAAAAUUGUAUUUAAAACCCAACUCUUUGAAUCAAAUAUAUAUUAUGUAUCAUAAAUAAAUAAAAGAUCACUUUCAACAACGGAUCUCUUGGCUCUC
Molecule: unclassified non-coding RNA, 181 nt
Filed under: fungal sp.
Lineage: Eukaryota; Fungi
Description: partial internal transcribed spacer region
Rfam family: Eukaryotic small subunit ribosomal RNA (bases 1-46)
Source: RNAcentral